Molecule: long non-coding RNA, 964 nt
Filed under: Heterocephalus glaber (naked mole-rat)
Lineage: Eukaryota; Metazoa; Chordata; Mammalia; Rodentia; Bathyergidae
Description: lncRNA (ENSHGLG00100043047.1)
Source: RNAcentral
AGCUGAUGUCUGAGCCAAGGUUUAUCUGUCUCCGAGGGCUUCCUUCUGCCUAUGAGCCAAGCUGCCUCACUGGAGCUGUGUGCAGUGGGUGGGCUGAGACGCUGGGUCCCGAUUGUGUCCUCGGAGAAGGCACAGGAGCUGUGGCAGCCUUCACUCGAGACUGUUAGCCUAAGCAGGGCUGUGAGAGGCGGACAGGACCCACACGUCCGGGCCCAGGGACACCUCCCUGUGGGCUCCCAUGUCCUGCAGCUUGCUGUGCUUGACAGCCACUGGGAUCCAGAUGUUGCACCCAAAAAUAAUUCAAGUCACCAGAGGUUAAGAGUGUCAUCUUGGCUCCCAAAGUGAGAAGGCUGAAGUCUCUUCAUGCUGAGGAAACUGUUUUUAUGCCAAAGCCGAGGACACUGGGGCCCAUGGGCUCCAUGUCUGACAUGAUUAUUAAUUUUGGUCAUGUUUCAAGAAUCUUCAUUUUUAUAUGUUGUGGUGGAUUGACUAAUGGUCAACUUGUAACGCCCAGCUGAACUGAACCAGCGUGGUCUGGGCGUGGAGGAUACGCCUGAAGUCUGUUACCAGUAGCCGUAAAAAGAGAACUGGAGGGGAAGAUCUUGGCUUGUUGAUUUGUAGGAGAAGCUUGCUGUGGAUGGUUUUCCUGAUGCAAACUUGGCUGUUCUCAUCGGAGGAGGAGCUCAGGGCCUCGCUGCUGCUGGGAAUGGCUGCUGUUUUCAUCAGGGGAGCUCUGAUCUUCCCCAUGAGCAUCACAGCCUGACUCCAGUGUGGAUCCUUCAGCCUGGUGGCACAAAUCCUUCAUCUCACCGGUGUAGGUUUUCUGGCUUCCACCACUGGCCUUUGGGCCUUCCAGGUGUAGAUCCUCAAUACGGACGAGCAUGAGAAACGUCAUGUGGGCUUGAGGCCACUGGCUGGACUCGAGGAGGACAUUGCAUUUUGUGGGAAACUGCGGGGAAGUUAG